AGCUUAAAGCCUGGCUUAGGCACAGCAGCCGAUGCUUUUCGGCUGUUAUGCCUCGAGGAAUGGAAGAGUGCGCUGGUCUCUGUGGCGUGGGCUCUUCGCGGGGAUGUCGGUGUCGGUGUCGUCAGCAGUGCCAGGGCCCAGCUGAGACGGCAGCGGCCGACGGCAAGCGGGCCCUGGCAGAAAAGCACGUGGAGGCAGUCGAGGCAGGGCGGUGCUGUGCGGAGAGUGGAGGAAUUGGGAACCCCAUGCCGCCCCCACACUGCUCGCUGCAGGACCUGCCUGUGGAGAUGCUGGUGGAGAUCUUCGCCUGGCUCCCCGGCACCGACCUGCCCAGCCUGGCCCAGGCCUGCACCAAAUUCCGCCACAUCCUGUACACCGACAGCAUCUGGAGACGGCGCUGCCGGCAGGAGUAUGGCGUUCCUGAAAACUUGCAGAACCAGGAGAUGAUAGGUAUGUCUUAUCGAGAAGUCUAUGCGAAGCUGCUCCACCCAUACAGACACAUUUUGGGAUUGUGGCAGCUAGAUACUGAGGACUAUAGAACACUGCUGAAUGUCGUGGUGGACGGCUUAUGCAUUACUGGUUGGACGUACGGGCCUUCCCUUAACACCCACGUGGAUGGCCCACUGCAAUUCAAGCCCGCGUUCAGAAUUCGCCUGACGGAGAGGAAAUCAGCCACGGUGGAAUGCAUGGAAGGCCUCCACAGCAGGCCCCACAACCGCCACAUGCAGAUUCAGAAGGACAGGCUCACCCUCCAGUGCAACAAGACAGACCACCGAAAGGAUUUAACAGCGAGACUUAGGGAAGAACGGGCGCUGCUGCUGACGCUGACGCUGGGGUGGGAGGACAGAUAUCAGUAUGACUGCCUGGCCUACCGCCGCCUCUACCUCCCGCGGAGCCACCCGGAGGACCUCAUCAGGCCAGGCCUCUUCCAAGGCAACUACGAUGCCUUCGGCCUAAAGAUUGUCAUGCUCAGCUUCCAUGGGAAGUAUGCCAGGGUCACGAAGAUCACGGGAGACACCAUCAGGAUGUUAGAGAUCCACCUCAUGCGCCGCAUCCAGCUGCCAGAUGGCGAGUUCUUCCGCAACUUCAACGAGCUCUCCCGCGUGGUCCAGGAGAUUGAUGAGCAGGUGAUCCGGGAGCAGCAGCAGCAGCAAGAAGAGGGGACUGAGGAAAGCGAGGGCCAUGGCUGGCAGAGCCCUGCCCGGCCCAGCGUCAGAGAGUCCCGGGAUGCAGCUUCAGAGGAGCAGACUGUUCCCUUUGUUCUGCCUGUGGACAUGCUCUCAAGAGAGCAGAACUACCCCCGAACCUGCAGGAUGUGUUUCUAUGGCGUGGACACUGUUACCUUACCUGGCUUAGCCUACUGGGAGCGGUUCCCUGGAGUCUUCAUCCUGUUCGAUGAGAACCACUUCGGGUUCAUCUGGCUGAAGGUGAAAUACUUCAUCCUGUUCGGCAGAGUCCAGAACACCUUCCAGAAUGUGGAAGCAUCAUCCCCGCAGGCCUUCCUGGAGAUGCUCUAG
This is an RNA transcript of Myotis brandtii (Brandt's bat), 1517 nucleotides long. It is a transcript of the gene named F-box only protein 31, with no coding region annotated. NCBI's taxonomy places the organism in Eukaryota, Metazoa, Chordata, Mammalia, Chiroptera, Vespertilionidae. The transcript has a single exon. The record is from RefSeq and is a predicted model, not a curated record.